CCUACGGGAGGCAGCAGUGAGGAAUAUUGGUCAAUGGACGAGAGUCUGAACCAGCCAAGUAGCGUGAAGGAUGACUGCCCUACGGGUUGUAAACUUCUUUUAUAUGGGAAUAAAAUGUUCCACGUGUGGGAUUUUGUAUGUACCAUAUGAAUAAGGAUCGGCUAACUCCGUGCCAGCAGCCGCGGUAAUACGGAGGAUCCGAGCGUUAUCCGGAAUUAUUUGGUUUAAAGGGAGCGUAGGUGGAUUGUUAAGUCAAUUGUGAAAGUUUGCGGCUCAACCGUAAAAGUGCAGUUGAAACUGGCAGUCUUGAGUACAGGAGAGGUGGGCGGAAUGCGUGGUGUAGCGGUGAAAUGCUUAGAUAUCACGAAGAACUCCGAUUGCGAAGGCAGCUCACUGGACUGCAACUGACACUGAGGCUCGAAAGUGUGGGUAUCAAACAGGAUUAGAUACCCCGGUAGUC
Molecule: ribosomal RNA, 460 nt
Filed under: uncultured bacterium
Lineage: Bacteria
Description: partial 16S ribosomal RNA
Rfam family: Bacterial small subunit ribosomal RNA
Source: RNAcentral